AUGUUCACACGGCGUUCUUCCUUAGCACGGCAGCGGCCUGGGAAGCAGUUCUACCAAUCACAAAGCGCCGGAAUAAACUUUCUCAUUACCUUCUGCUCGGAGAUUUCGCUGGCUGCAGGCUUGAUCUCCUCUUUCUUGUCUUCCUUGAGGGGUUCUUCCUUCUUUGGCUCCUCUUUCUUUUCCUCCUUCUUCUCCUCCUUCUUCUCUUCCUCCUUCUUCGGUUCUUCCUUCUUCUCUUCGGCUACGGGUUUGGCGUCCUCGGCCUUUUUGGCUUCGUCGACGACGGGGGCGGGGGGAGGAACUGCGACAUCCUUGGCGGGCUCGCUCGGGGACGCGGCGGCGGCGGGCGUUGGUUUGGCCUCGUCGGCCGCCGGUUUGGCCGCCUCGCUCUUGGGGGCGUCAGCGGCCACCGGGGCGACCUGGGCACUCGCGUCGCUCACCUUCGAGUAGUCCUGUAUGACCGGCGGCGCAACCUCCUUCUUCUCGUUGAUCGGGUAGCCGUAGGCGCCCACAGCCAGAAGCGCUAAGCCCAGCAAAGCCCACUUCAUCCUGGAACAGGGAAUAGAAUGCACGGGUCAGAGGGUGUUUACAAAACACACGGAAGCGGAAAAUAAGGCAUAGAGAAAAAAGGAGGUGUUUGCAUUUCGGGCAUCUUGGAAUUUCUUUGAUGACGUAGGUCGGUACAGCGACGUUUAUCAUCGAUUUUCUUGGAAAUAAUGUAAUUUAUGGAAAAAAGUCAUUCAAUAAAAAGUGCUUGAAAUUAUAUCAUAAGUUGAUUUAAGCAAAAAAUGGGACAUUAUGGUCCGUUUUUCUUACUUCGAAUCCCGGAUUUUGCUGGCCAGGUUGUACCGACGUACGUCACAGGGUGAACAAACCUCAAGAUGCAAACACCUCCUUUUUUUUUCUCUAUGAAAAUAAGGCACCGCGCAGGCCGCGUCACAGAUCUUCCGUGAUAGCGAAGAGAGCCGUAAGUGCAAAAUUUUCGAAAUCGAGUUUUCUUCAAAAUUCGUCUAAACUCUUUCAGAUAAACUUACUGAGACUACCUAAAACAGCAAAAUUCAUCCUAAUUUAAUGAAAACAAGACGUAUGAAAAAGCCGUAAGUGCACAAAAAAUGACAC
This 1119-nucleotide long non-coding RNA is filed under the name Bemisia tabaci. RNAcentral describes it as "lncRNA ENSSSA3NGG008821". Lineage: Eukaryota; Metazoa; Arthropoda; Insecta; Hemiptera; Aleyrodidae. The record is from RNAcentral.